Molecule: long non-coding RNA, 264 nt
Filed under: Malus domestica (apple)
Lineage: Eukaryota; Viridiplantae; Streptophyta; Magnoliopsida; Rosales; Rosaceae
Description: long non-coding RNA (MDOM_LNC010097)
Source: RNAcentral
UCAAUAUUGUUCUCACUUAAUCACUUGUAUAAUUCAAAAUAUAUUUGACUUUUACAUUGUGGACCUUCUAAUCACGUGGUUAAACAUUUGUAAUAUGUUGUGUGCUUUUUGUUUUAUAAUCACGCGAUUAAAGAUGGGGCCUUUCAUCAUAAUUAAUGGGAGGGUUAAGGCCUAAGCGCCUUUAGUUGUUUUAAAUUUCCUUCUUUUUCUAAGGUAUCUUUUGCUUUUACGUACAGUUUUGUUUUAAAACUGAGUAAGCUGAUU